Molecule: ribosomal RNA, 492 nt
Filed under: uncultured bacterium
Lineage: Bacteria
Description: partial 16S ribosomal RNA
Rfam family: Bacterial small subunit ribosomal RNA
Source: RNAcentral
AGUGAACGCUGGCGGUAGGCCUAACACAUGCAAGUCGAACGGCAGCACAGUAAGAGCUUGCUCUUACGGGUGGCGAGUGGCGGACGGGUGAGGAAUACAUCGGAAUCUACUUUUUCGUGGGGGAUAACGUAGGGAACCUUACGCUAAUACCGCAUACGACCUACGGGUGAAAGCAGGGGAUCCUCGGACCUUGCGCGAUUGAAUGAGCCGAUGUCGGAUUAGCUAGUUGGCGGGGUAAAGGCCCACCAAGGCGACGAUCCGUAGCUGGUCUGAGAGGAUGAUCAGCCACACUGGAACUGAGACACGGUCCAGACUCCUACGGGAGGCAGCAGUGGGGAAUAUUGGACAAUGGGCGCAAGCCUGAUCCAGCCAUACCGCGUGAGUGAAGAAGGCCUUCGGGUUGUAAAGCCCUUUUGUUGGGAAAGAAAAGCAGCAGGUUAAUACCCCGCUGUUCUGACGGUACCCAAAGAAUAAGCACCGGCUAACUUCGUG